UAGAAAUUUGGGUCUGCUAGACUACAAACUACAAAUUCUAUUUAGCAGACCAAAGUUAUUUAUUU
Caenorhabditis elegans is the source of this 65-nucleotide non-coding RNA. NCBI's taxonomy places the organism in Eukaryota, Metazoa, Nematoda, Chromadorea, Rhabditida, Rhabditidae. The record is from Ensembl.